Molecule: ribosomal RNA, 585 nt
Rfam family: Eukaryotic large subunit ribosomal RNA
AAAAGAACUUUGAAGAGAGAGUUCAACAGUACGUAAAACCGCCUAGAGGUAAACGGGUGGAUCCGCAAAGUCGGCCUGCGAAAUUCAGCUCGGAAGGCUCGUCGCAGGUGGUGGGUCGAGAUCUUUCGCGGACUCUCCCGCUUGCUCGACGCUAGCUUGACGUGUGCACUUUUCGCAGGCAGAGCGCCACGACCGGUUUUCGGGCAGUCAGAAGGCGGCGAGGAAGGUAGGUGGGCGCUUCGGCGUUUACUGUUAUAGCCUGGCCUGUCCCGAUCUGCUCGGAGACCGAGGAGCCGCCGCUCGGCAUGGCGCUACCCUGCUCUCCUGGAGGGUUCGACUGACAGAGACUGGGCAACCGUGUCUGUCGACCGCCUUUCUGGACGGAUGGGGGUGCUUUUAGCCAGUCGAGCAAAGGGUCGGUGGCGAAUCGGUCGGCACUCCACCCGACCCGUCUUGAAACACGGACCAAGGAGUCUAACAUGCGCGCGAGUCGUUGGGUAGUACGAAACCCGAAGGCGAAGUGAAAGCGAGGGCCGUCCUUGCGACGUGCUCAGGUGGGAUCCUGCUGCUUCAACUGGCGCGGGC